RNAcentral lists this unclassified non-coding RNA (852 nucleotides) under Espeletia moritziana. Its description in RNAcentral is "Coespeletia moritziana partial external transcribed spacer". The record is from RNAcentral. Lineage: Eukaryota; Viridiplantae; Streptophyta; Magnoliopsida; Asterales; Asteraceae.
CAGGCCUCCCUCUGCUUGGUUCCAGUCGUGGGCAUGAGUGAGGGUCGAUGCUUGAUGGCUUUAAUGACAUCGGUGGGAAUGUAUUUAAGCAUCGGCCUUCCCUCAUGCCCACGAUGGUCUACAGUCUUGGGUAUGAGUCAGUGACGAUGCUUGUUUGUUUAGAUGCUUGCGUUUGAACUUGCUUGUUUAGAUGCUUGCGUUGGAACUUGUUUGUUCAGAUGCUUGUGUUGGAACUUGCUUGUUUAGAUGCUUUCGUUGGAACUUGCUUGAGCAACCGACCUGACGAAGUACCCAUGAAUGUCGCCCUCAACCUAGUAGGGACGUGUCCCUGCGCCCAACGACAUUUUUUGUCGGGAUCGUGGCAAGUCUGCGAUCCAGGGGGUGAUGUUGAGAGCCGGAAGGCAAGGGGGUGCAAACACCAGUCGGCCUUUGUCCCGAUUGCUGAGUGUUAUGUGCUUGAUGUCCAAGGCUUGAUGCUGAUCCUCCAAGUGGGGCUUGUCCCUGCACCAAUGGCUUUUGCCAGGAUCAUGGCGUUUGCUAUGAUCGAAAAAAUGAGGGGGUGAUGUUGAGAGCCGGAAGGCAAGGGGGUGCAAACACCAGUCGGCCUUUGUCCCGAUUGCUGAGUGUUAUGUGCUUGACGUCCAAGGCUUGAUGUUGACCCUCCAAGUGGGGCAUUUUUGUUCCUGCGGUAACGACUUUGUUGGGAUCAUUGUGAUCAAGUUUGGUUGGUUUCGUAUUGUGGUGGGUUUUUUCGAAGCUUCUAUCGUUGUUUUACGCAUCGUGCGGUGCAUCUUGGGGGCUGUUUUGGCUUUUGGUUGCUUGCUUGGGCUUUAUGCUAGGCGGGUGGCUAAU